Molecule: ribosomal RNA, 1520 nt
Filed under: Klebsiella pneumoniae
Lineage: Bacteria; Pseudomonadati; Pseudomonadota; Gammaproteobacteria; Enterobacterales; Enterobacteriaceae
Description: bacterial SSU rRNA
Rfam family: Bacterial small subunit ribosomal RNA
Source: RNAcentral
AGAGUUUGAUCAUGGCUCAGAUUGAACGCUGGCGGCAGGCCUAACACAUGCAAGUCGAGCGGUAGCACAGAGAGCUUGCUCUCGGGUGACGAGCGGCGGACGGGUGAGUAAUGUCUGGGAAACUGCCUGAUGGAGGGGGAUAACUACUGGAAACGGUAGCUAAUACCGCAUAAUGUCGCAAGACCAAAGUGGGGGACCUUCGGGCCUCAUGCCAUCAGAUGUGCCCAGAUGGGAUUAGCUAGUAGGUGGGGUAAUGGCUCACCUAGGCGACGAUCCCUAGCUGGUCUGAGAGGAUGACCAGCCACACUGGAACUGAGACACGGUCCAGACUCCUACGGGAGGCAGCAGUGGGGAAUAUUGCACAAUGGGCGCAAGCCUGAUGCAGCCAUGCCGCGUGUGUGAAGAAGGCCUUCGGGUUGUAAAGCACUUUCAGCGGGGAGGAAGGCGAUAAGGUUAAUAACCUUGUCGAUUGACGUUACCCGCAGAAGAAGCACCGGCUAACUCCGUGCCAGCAGCCGCGGUAAUACGGAGGGUGCAAGCGUUAAUCGGAAUUACUGGGCGUAAAGCGCACGCAGGCGGUCUGUCAAGUCGGAUGUGAAAUCCCCGGGCUUAACCUGGGAACUGCAUUCGAAACUGGCAGGCUAGAGUCUUGUAGAGGGGGGUAGAAUUCCAGGUGUAGCGGUGAAAUGCGUAGAGAUCUGGAGGAAUACCGGUGGCGAAGGCGGCCCCCUGGACAAAGACUGACGCUCAGGUGCGAAAGCGUGGGGAGCAAACAGGAUUAGAUACCCUGGUAGUCCACGCCGUAAACGAUGUCGAUUUGGAGGUUGUGCCCUUGAGGCGUGGCUUCCGGAGCUAACGCGUUAAAUCGACCGCCUGGGGAGUACGGCCGCAAGGUUAAAACUCAAAUGAAUUGACGGGGGCCCGCACAAGCGGUGGAGCAUGUGGUUUAAUUCGAUGCAACGCGAAGAACCUUACCUGGUCUUGACAUCCACAGAACUUUCCAGAGAUGGAUUGGUGCCUUCGGGAACUGUGAGACAGGUGCUGCAUGGCUGUCGUCAGCUCGUGUUGUGAAAUGUUGGGUUAAGUCCCGCAACGAGCGCAACCCUUAUCCUUUGUUGCCAGCGGUUAGGCCGGGAACUCAAAGGAGACUGCCAGUGAUAAACUGGAGGAAGGUGGGGAUGACGUCAAGUCAUCAUGGCCCUUACGACCAGGGCUACACACGUGCUACAAUGGCAUAUACAAAGAGAAGCGACCUCGCGAGAGCAAGCGGACCUCAUAAAGUAUGUCGUAGUCCGGAUUGGAGUCUGCAACUCGACUCCAUGAAGUCGGAAUCGCUAGUAAUCGUAGAUCAGAAUGCUACGGUGAAUACGUUCCCGGGCCUUGUACACACCGCCCGUCACACCAUGGGAGUGGGUUGCAAAAGAAGUAGGUAGCUUAACCUUCGGGAGGGCGCUUACCACUUUGUGAUUCAUGACUGGGGUGAAGUCGUAACAAGGUAACCGUAGGGGAACCUGCGGUUG